GGGUUUAGCAAAGCGUUUCUUACAGAGUUUAUUGGCAUUCUGUCCACCUCCUCUCUUUUUCACUCCCUGUGUAUUAGAAGAUAGUACGUGUGGAGGUGGGCAUACUGCCAACUGAGCUCUGUUGGCUUCUCUUUGUAAAACCCU
RNAcentral lists this microRNA precursor (144 nucleotides) under Prunus persica (peach). RNAcentral's name for it is "miR394a stem-loop (ppe-MIR394a)". Its record names the gene ppe-MIR394a. The stretch from base 19 to 125 matches the Rfam family "MIR394 microRNA precursor family". The record is from miRBase by way of RNAcentral. Lineage: Eukaryota; Viridiplantae; Streptophyta; Magnoliopsida; Rosales; Rosaceae.